RNAcentral lists this ribosomal RNA (253 nucleotides) under uncultured bacterium. RNAcentral describes it as "partial 16S ribosomal RNA". It matches the Rfam family "Bacterial small subunit ribosomal RNA", at positions 524 to 776 of the family's 1533-position model. The record is from RNAcentral.
UACGUAGGGUGCGAGCGUUGUCCGGAAUUAUUGGGCGUAAAGAGCUCGUAGGCGGCUUGUCGCGUCGGAUGUGAAAGCCCGGGGCUUAACCCCGGGUCUGCAUUCGAUACGGGCAGGCUGGAGUGUGGUAGGGGAGAUCGGAAUUCCUGGUGUAGCGGUGAAAUGCGCAGAUAUCAGGAGGAACACCGGUGGCGAAGGCGGAUCUCUGGGCCAUUACUGACGCUGAGGAGCGAAAGCGUGGGGAGCGAACAGG